RNAcentral lists this ribosomal RNA (475 nucleotides) under uncultured bacterium. RNAcentral's name for it is "partial 16S ribosomal RNA". It matches the Rfam family "Bacterial small subunit ribosomal RNA", at positions 30 to 505 of the family's 1533-position model. The record is from RNAcentral.
AUUGAACGCUGGCGGCAUGCCUUACACAUGCAAGUCGAACGGUAACAGGUUAAGCUGACGAGUGGCGAACGGGUGAGUAAUGUAUCGGAACGUGCCCAGUCGUGGGGGAUAACUGCUCGAAAGAGCAGCUAAUACCGCAUACGACCUGAGGGUGAAAGCGGGGGAUCGCAAGACCUCGCGCGAUUGGAGCGGCCGAUAUCAGAUUAGGUAGUUGGUGAGGUAAAGGCUCACCAAGCCGACGAUCUGUAGCUGGUCUGAGAGGACGACCAGCCACACUGGGACUGAGACACGGCCCAGACUCCUACGGGAGGCAGCAGUGGGGAAUUUUGGACAAUGGGCGCAAGCCUGAUCCAGCCAUGCCGCGUGCGGGAAGAAGGCCUUCGGGUUGUAAACCGCUUUUGUCAGGGAAGAAAAGGUUCUGGCUAAUACCUGGGACUCAUGACGGGACCUGAAGAAUAAGCACCGGCUAACUACG